UAAGUAAAUUACAUCUAUAUAUAACCACUUCCAAAAAAUAAAACUAUAUGAUAGUAAAGUGAAGUAUGUAAAAUAUCCUUUGGUCUAAUGGCUAUUUUUGUUUUUCCAAAGAUAAUUUAUCUAUAACUAUUAAUAUUUCAAAAAGCUUUGCUAUCAAUGUCAACUGGUCGAGGGGGAUUCAGCAAGCUCAAAUGUUUUUUCUGAAUAAUAAAAAUGCCCAGAAUAGAAACUAGCAACAAAAGUCAACAGAGAGGGAGUGAUGGAAAGAGGGAAGCUAGGCAAAUUGCUUUAUAUUUUGCAUAACUGAAGAGCCAGAUGGCUUAACUGGAUUUUUAUUUUCAGAACCACCCACUGCAGGAUUUUAAGUAAGUUCUCAAGUCAAACACUGUAUUGCAAAACAGAGUUUAACAAUGUCUUGACCAGAGCCCACAACCUUAUCCAGGCAUUACCAGAUUCCUAUCCUUGUGAUGCAGCCAGAUCUGUCUUUUACUGGAAGAAGAAACCCUGGAGCCUGAGAUACUGUUAUGCCUAA
Molecule: long non-coding RNA, 532 nt
Filed under: Capra hircus (goat)
Lineage: Eukaryota; Metazoa; Chordata; Mammalia; Artiodactyla; Bovidae
Description: lncRNA (ENSCHIG00010032159.1)
Source: RNAcentral